Molecule: ribosomal RNA, 253 nt
Filed under: uncultured bacterium
Lineage: Bacteria
Description: partial 16S ribosomal RNA
Rfam family: Bacterial small subunit ribosomal RNA
Source: RNAcentral
UACGAAGGGGGCUAGCGUUGUUCGGAAUUACUGGGCGUAAAGCGUGCGCAGGCGGCUUCUCAAGUCAGGGGUGAAAGCCCAGAGCUCAACUCUGGAAUUGCCUUUGAGACUGAGUGGCUUGAGUACGAGAGAGGUGGGUGGAAUUCCCAGUGUAGAGGUGAAAUUCGUAGAUAUUGGGAAGAACACCGGUGGCGAAGGCGGCUCACUGGCUCGUAACUGACGCUCAUGCACGAAAGCGUGGGGAGCAAACAGG